GGGAGGAAUCAAAUCCAGAUCGUAAGAAAAGAGAGAAAACCUGCUCCCUUCGUACUCAAAAAAAUCAACCACUCACCUGCUACCAACAUCACUGAUAUCACCAUCUCAUAUCUAACCUUCUUAUCGUUCACCACCCUUCCGCCUUCCUUUGUUCAAGAUUAUAAUCACCACCUCUUCAUCUUAUAUCAUCCCCGCCAUCUUCAACAAGCUCAUCGAAAUUCCCUCUCUCUACAACACCCGCUGAAUCGCCAUCACCUUGCCUCCAUAUCUCCAUCACCGGUCGGUACUUCCUCUCUUCUGUAA
This is a non-coding RNA of Vicia faba (fava bean), 303 nucleotides long. The record is from the annotation of a GenBank genome assembly. Lineage: Eukaryota; Viridiplantae; Streptophyta; Magnoliopsida; Fabales; Fabaceae.